GCAUCUUUAGCUAAAUUGGUAUAGCAGUUGUCUUCGAAGCAAAAGUAUGAAGGUUCGAGUCCUUUAAGGUGUU
Molecule: transfer RNA, 73 nt
Filed under: Armillaria borealis
Lineage: Eukaryota; Fungi; Basidiomycota; Agaricomycetes; Agaricales; Physalacriaceae
Also listed under: 5 other names
Description: tRNA-Arg
Rfam family: tRNA
About the family: Transfer RNA (tRNA) molecules are approximately 80 nucleotides in length. Their secondary structure includes four short double-helical elements and three loops (D, anti-codon, and T loops). Further hydrogen bonds mediate the characteristic L-shaped molecular structure. tRNAs have two regions of fundamental functional importance: the anti-codon, which is responsible for specific mRNA codon recognition, and the 3' end, to which the tRNAs corresponding amino acid is attached (by aminoacyl-tRNA synthetases). tRNAs cope with the degeneracy of the genetic code in two manners: having more than one tRNA (with a specific anti-codon) for a particular amino acid; and 'wobble' base-pairing, i.e. permitting non-standard base-pairing at the 3rd anti-codon position.
Source: RNAcentral